AGCGAACGCUGGCGGCAGGCCUAACACAUGCAAGUCGAACGAUCCUUCGGGAUAGUGGCGGACGGGUGAGUAACACGUGGGAACGUGCCUUUUGGUUCGGAACAACUCAGGGAAACUUGAGCUAAUACCGAAUGUGCCCUUCGGGGGAAAGAUUUAUCGCCAUUAGAGCGGCCCGCGUCUGAUUAGCUUGUUGGUGAGGU
RNAcentral lists this ribosomal RNA (200 nucleotides) under uncultured bacterium. RNAcentral describes it as "partial 16S ribosomal RNA". It matches the Rfam family "Bacterial small subunit ribosomal RNA", at positions 29 to 258 of the family's 1533-position model. The record is from RNAcentral.